Hemicordylus capensis (graceful crag lizard) is the source of this 589-nucleotide long non-coding RNA. RefSeq lists it as uncharacterized. The record is from RefSeq and is a predicted model, not a curated record. The transcript has 3 exons. NCBI's taxonomy places the organism in Eukaryota, Metazoa, Chordata, Lepidosauria, Squamata, Cordylidae.
GGUUUGGGCCUAGAUCUGCGAGGAGAGAGAGAGUAAACUGAACAUCAGAAUAGAAGGAAGAUUCACUUUUCCCAGUCAGAAGCCAGUCAUCCAAGAUGGUGAAUGUAACAGGUGCCUCCCAAGCAGCUUUGGAAGCAGCAACCAGGAAGAACUGCCAGGAACAGUGAGAGAAAAUGGAGCAAGAACCUUUGUGUGGCAGUGAGAGCAGCAGACGAGAACGAACUGAAGAGGAAGGUGCUUUCCUGCCUAUUUUACUGGGUGCUCCCUUGCACAUCAGAAUGCCGGAGAGCACAGAUUGGAGCUAGAGAUUCCUCCGCAGGGCUACUAUGAAGGCACAGAAGAUCCAGUAGAGAGGGAACAUCAGAUAUCACAUCAGAGAUCAGAACUUCCCAUUUCACUAAAAAUAUGUUGCUCCUGUGAAUAUUCAAGUGUUUCUAAGGAUAAGCCCAAUUUUGCCAAUAUUUGUGGGGCUGGUUUCUUAAAAUUCUGUUCAUUUCUGCCAAAGGAGUCCUAUAUUGUGGUCAUCUAAUCUGGAAAUUCCCUCCAAAGUCAUACAGAGUUUCAUAUGAUCUAUUCUUCUGUUCAGAAU